RNAcentral lists this ribosomal RNA (458 nucleotides) under uncultured bacterium. RNAcentral describes it as "partial 16S ribosomal RNA". It matches the Rfam family "Bacterial small subunit ribosomal RNA", at positions 338 to 795 of the family's 1533-position model. The record is from RNAcentral.
CCUACGGGGGGCAGCAGUGAGGAAUAUUGGUCAAUGGCCGGAAGGCUGAACCAGCCAUGCCGCGUGAAGGUCAGUGCCCUAUGGGCGUUAAACUUCUUUUGUGCGGGAGCAAUAAUGGUCACGUGUGGCCAGACGAGAGUACCGUACGAAUAAGCGUCGCCUAACUCCGUGCCAGCAGCCGCGGUUAUACGGAGGAUGCGAGCGUUAUCCGGAUUUAUGGGGUUUAAAGGGUGCGUAGGCGGAAUGUUAAGUCAGCGGUAAAAGCCCGGGGCUCAACCCCGGCGAGCCGUGGAAAAUGGAUGUCUAGAGAGGUCGAGAGGUAAGUGGAAUGCGCAGUGUAGCGGUGAAAUGCUUAGAUAUUGCGCAGAACACCGAUUGCGAAGGCAGCAUACCGGCGGCGAUCUGACGCUGAGGCACGAAAGCGUGGGUAUCGAACAGGAUUAGAUACCCUUGUAGUC